UAGUGGCAAACGGGUGAGUAACACGUGGGUAAUCUACCUUGGAGAUUGGGAUAACUUCUGGAAACGGAUGCUAAUACCGAAUAAUUCAUAUUUAGAUAACUAGAUAUGCUAAAAGGUGCUUCGGCAUCACUUCAAGAUGAGCUUGCGGUGUAUUAGAUAGUUGGUGGGGUAAUGGCCUACCAAGUCAACGAUGCAUAGCCGAGCUGAGAGGCUGAUCGGCCACAUUGGAACUGAGAUACGGUCCAAACUCCUACGGGAGGCAGCAGUUAGGAAUAUUCGUCAAUGGGGGAAACCCUGAACGAGCAAUGCCGCGUGAAUGAUGACAGUCCUAGUGAUUGUAAAAUUCUGUUGUGAAGAAAGAACCUCUAGUAUAGGUAAUGAUACUAGACUGACGGUACUUCACCAGAAAGCCCCGGCUAACUACGUGCCAGCAGCCGCGGUAAUACGUAGGGGGCGAGCGUUAUCCGGAUUUAUUGGGCGUAAAGCGUGUGUAGGCGGUUUAUUUAGUCUAAGAUCAAAGCCUGAGGCUCAACCUCAGUUCGUCUUANAAACUGGUAGACUUGAGUGUGGUAGANGCAAAUGGAACUUCUAGUGUAGCGGUUAAAUGCGUAGAUUUUAGAAAGAACACCCAGUGGCGAAGGCGKUUUGYUGGGGCCAUUACUGACGCUGAGACACGAAAGCGUGGGGGAGCAAAUAGGAUUAGAUCCCCUAGUAGUCCCCCGCUGUAAACGAUGAGUACUAAGUGUCGGCCAACCGGUGCUGAAGUUAACACAUUAAGUACUCCGCCUGAGUAGUACGGUCGCAAGGCUGAAACUCAAAGGAAUUGACGGGCACCCGCACAAGCGGUGGAGCAUGCUGUUUAAUUCGAAGAUACGCGAAGAACCUUACCUAGACUUGACAUCCCUGGCAAAGCUAUAGAAAUAUAGUGGAGGUUACCCAGGUGACAGGUGGUGCAUGGUUGUCGUCAGCUCGUGUCGUGAGAUGUUCGGUUAAGUCCGAUAACGAGCGCAACCCUUAUUACUAGUUGCUAACAUUUAGUUGAGAACUCUAGUAAGACUGCCGGUGAUAAACCGGAGGAAGGCGGGGAUGACGUCAAAUCAUCAUGCCCCUUACGUCUAGGGCUACAGGCGUGCUACAAUGGUCGGUACAAAAAGUUGCAAAGUCGCGAGGCUGAGCUAAUCUCCAAAACCGACCCCAGUUCGGAUUGUAGUCUGCAACUCGACUACAUGAAGUUGGAAUCGCUAGUAAUCCUGAAUCAGAAUGUCAGGGUGAAUACGUUCCCGGGUGUUGUACACACCGCCCGUCACGCUAUGAGAGUCUGUAAUACCCGAAGUUGGUAGCCUAACCUUUUGGAGGGGGCCGGCGAAGGUAGGACCAGGUGAUUGGAGUG
This 1390-nucleotide ribosomal RNA is filed under the name uncultured rumen bacterium. RNAcentral's name for it is "16S ribosomal RNA". It matches the Rfam family "Bacterial small subunit ribosomal RNA". The record is from RNAcentral.